This 274-nucleotide ribosomal RNA is filed under the name uncultured bacterium. Its description in RNAcentral is "partial 16S ribosomal RNA". It matches the Rfam family "Bacterial small subunit ribosomal RNA", at positions 523 to 796 of the family's 1533-position model. The record is from RNAcentral.
AUACGGAGGGUGCAAGCGUUACUCGGAAUCACUGGGCGUAAAGCGCGCGCAGGCGGCUUGAUAAGUUGGAUGUGAAAGCCUACGGCUCAACCGUAGAACUGCAUCCAAAACUGUCAGGCUAGAGUGUGGGAGAGGAAGAUGGAAUUAGUUGUGUAGGGGUAAAAUCCGUAGAGAUAACUAGGAAUACCAAAAGCGAAGGCAAUCUUCUGGAACACUACUGACGCUGAGGCGCGAAGGCGUGGGGAGCAAACCGGAUUAGAAACCCCAGUAGUCC